Clostridium sp. L2-50 is the source of this 162-nucleotide non-coding RNA. The record is from Rfam. Lineage: Bacteria; Bacillati; Bacillota; Clostridia; Eubacteriales; Clostridiaceae.
UGAAUAACCCCGGCAAGCAAUUACACAGCAUGCCUGCUAGCAGGCAAAGCUGUGUAAUUAUUUGCCGGGCAAACAGACAUGAGCAUGAAGGACGAAAGUCCGGAAAGCGAAUGGCUGAGGCGAUUUCGGGAGUUCGAAGAACGGAGAAAUCGUAGUUAUUCA